RNAcentral lists this transfer RNA (75 nucleotides) under Nitrososphaerota archaeon. Its description in RNAcentral is "tRNA-Ile". It matches the Rfam family "tRNA". From Rfam's summary of the family: Transfer RNA (tRNA) molecules are approximately 80 nucleotides in length. Their secondary structure includes four short double-helical elements and three loops (D, anti-codon, and T loops). The record is from RNAcentral. Lineage: Archaea; Thermoproteati; Nitrososphaerota.
GGGCACGUGGUGAAACCAGGUCAUCAUGCCCGGCCUGAUAUGCGGGGGUUGAGCGUUCAAAUCGCUCCGUGCCUA